UCUUGGAGCAAGGAUCUCAAAUCAAAAGACCCUAGGUCUCUAUCACUUAUGGUUUACCAGUUAGAAAUGCAAAUCACUUAUAUCAAAUACAUAAGGGGGAAUAACUCUCAUAUGGAGUCUCUGAAUAGCUUCAGUCACAAGAAAAACAGUGUUUGGGGAGAUAACUCUUACAACGCAAAGUAUUUAGUUACGCGGUUGUCAGUUUUAAAGCAUAUAAACUAUACGAUAUCAUAUUCCAAAUAUCUAAGCGCCAUCUUUUGAAACAACAAAAUUACGCAAGAAAAAAAUUAGGCGGAAGAAAAAAAAAAUAAUAAUAAUAAUAAUCAGAACAAAAUCAAGAGGUCUUUCGACGGAAAGGUGGAAAAACCUAAUUAAAUACAAAAAAAAAAGAAAGAAAAAUCUGAAAUUAUGAAAGUAUCAUUCGAUCUUUGAUUGCUUGCGUGUAAUCUACAUAGCUUUAGCUAUAUGACGUUAACCAAACUAAGUGAUCAGAUGAAAAAUUGUCAAAUUGAUCCAUUUUUGACUAGAGCAUGUUUCGUCUAUAGAAAUAUACCUCUAUUAUAAGUUCAUGUAAUAUAAUCCAUACAUAUCUUCGUUUAUUCCUAUUUUAUAUCUUUAUAACGAUAUUUUUUUCUUUUUAUGGGUAGAAAAUACUUUAUCUAGCAGAUCAAGACUAAACAGACAACAUAUUAUUAACUUUGUUUUUAAAACAAUUAGUUUUUGAAAAUUCCCUUUAAUAAGGAAUGCCUUAUAUCCAGAGAGGCAGUGCUUAAGAAAAUUUUGUGAUAUUAAAUCCAUAUAAAUAGGGAGACUGUUAUGAAAAAAAUCCAAUUAGUUUGUACAUUUUCUAGUCAUAGAAAAACAAAGAAUUUGACACCAAAUCAGUACAUUCACAGCAAAAAAAAUCAACAAAAAACAACACACACACACACAUACACACAAAA
This 944-nucleotide long non-coding RNA is filed under the name Mytilus galloprovincialis (Mediterranean mussel). The record is from RNAcentral. Lineage: Eukaryota; Metazoa; Mollusca; Bivalvia; Mytilida; Mytilidae.